GCAUGAAGCUGGAAUCGCUAGUAAUCGCGGAUCAGAAUGCCGCGGUGAAUACGUUCCCGGGUCUUGUACACACCGCCCGUCACACCAUGGGAGUCGGGAAUGCCCGAAGUCAGUGACCCAACCGAAAGGGGGGAGCUGCCGAAGGCAGGCCUGGUAACUGGGGUGAAGUCGUAACAAGGUAUC
This 183-nucleotide ribosomal RNA is filed under the name uncultured bacterium. RNAcentral describes it as "partial 16S ribosomal RNA". It matches the Rfam family "Bacterial small subunit ribosomal RNA", at positions 1318 to 1500 of the family's 1533-position model. The record is from RNAcentral.